This 477-nucleotide ribosomal RNA is filed under the name uncultured bacterium. Its description in RNAcentral is "partial 16S ribosomal RNA". It matches the Rfam family "Bacterial small subunit ribosomal RNA", at positions 30 to 507 of the family's 1533-position model. The record is from RNAcentral.
AUUGAACGCUGGCGGCAUGCCUUACACAUGCAAGUCGAACGGUAACAGGUUAAGCUGACGAGUGGCGAACGGGUGAGUAAUGUAUCGGAACGUGCCCAGUCGUGGGGGAUAACUGCUCGAAAGAGCAGCUAAUACCGCAUACGACCUGAGGGUGAAAGCGGGGGAUCGCAAGACCUCGCGCGAUUGGAGCGGCCGAUAUCAGAUUAGGUAGUUGGUGAGGUAAAGGCUCACCAAGCCGACGAUCUGUAGCUGGUCUGAGAGGACGACCAGCCACACUGGGACUGAGACACGGCCCAGACUCCUACGGGAGGCAGCAGUGGGGAAUUUUGGACAAUGGGCGCAAGCCUGAUCCAGCAAUGCCGCGUGCGGGAAGAAGGCCUUCGGGUUGUAAACCGCUUUUGUCAGGGAAGAAAAGGUUCUGGCUAAUACCUGGGACUCAUGACGGUACCUGAAGAAUAAGCACCGGCUAACUACGUG